This is a small nucleolar RNA of Cucurbita maxima (winter squash), 80 nucleotides long. RefSeq annotates it as small nucleolar RNA R38. The record is from RefSeq and is a predicted model, not a curated record. The transcript has a single exon. Lineage: Eukaryota; Viridiplantae; Streptophyta; Magnoliopsida; Cucurbitales; Cucurbitaceae.
UCUUCUGGAUGAUGAGAACAUGAAAUUACAGUUAUCCCUGGCUGAUUCGAAAUGCUGAUAUUUCUUACUCUGACAGUACU